Molecule: ribosomal RNA, 497 nt
Filed under: uncultured bacterium
Lineage: Bacteria
Description: partial 16S ribosomal RNA
Rfam family: Bacterial small subunit ribosomal RNA
Source: RNAcentral
GAUGAACGCUGGCGGCGUGCCUAAUACAUGCAAGUCGAGCGAACAGACGAUGAGCUUGCUCCUUUGACGUUAGCGGCGGACGGGUGAGUAACACGUAUGUAACCUACCUAUAAUACUGGGAUAACUUCGGGAAACCGGAGCUAAUACCGGAUAAUAUUUCGAACCGCAGUGUUCGAUAGUGAAAUAUGGCUUUGCUAUCACUUAUAGAUGGACCUGCGCCGUAUUAGCUAGUUGGUAAGGUAACGGCUUACCAAGGCAACGAUACGUAGCCGACCUGAGAGGCUGAUAGCCGACACUGGAACUGAGACACGGUCAAGACUACUACGGGAGGCAGCAGUAGGGAAUCUUACGCAAUGGGCGAAAGCCUGACGGAGCAACGCCGCGUGAGUGAUGAAGGUCUCCGGAUCGUAAAACUCUGUUAUUAGGGAUGAACAAACGUGUAAGUAAAUGUGCACGUCUUGACGGUACCUAAUCAGAAAGCCACGGCUAACUACGUG